CUGGGCGUAAAGCGUGCGCAGGUGGUUUUGUAAGUCAGAUGUGAAAUCCCCGGGCUCAACCUGGGAACUGCGUUUGAAACUACAAGACUAGAGUGUGGCAGAGGGGGGUGGAAUUCCGCGUGUAGCAGUGAAAUGCGUAGAGAUGUGGAGGAACACCGAUGGCGAAGGCAGCCCCCUGGGUCAACACUGACGCUCAGGCACGAAAGCAUGGGGAGCAAACAGGAUUAGAUACCCUGGUAGUCCAUGCCCUAAACGAUGUCAACUAGUUGUCGGGCCUUUACGGGCUUGGUAACGUAGCUAACGCGUGAAGUUGACCGCCUGGGGAGUACGAUCGCAAGAUUAAAACUCAAAUGAAUUGACGGGGACCCGCACAAGCGGUGGAUUAUGUGGAUUAAUUCGAUGCAACGCGAAAAACCUUACCUACCCUUGACAUGUAUCGAAG
This 442-nucleotide ribosomal RNA is filed under the name uncultured beta proteobacterium. Its description in RNAcentral is "bacterial SSU rRNA". It matches the Rfam family "Bacterial small subunit ribosomal RNA", at positions 554 to 996 of the family's 1533-position model. Lineage: Bacteria; Pseudomonadati; Pseudomonadota; Betaproteobacteria. The record is from RNAcentral.